Molecule: ribosomal RNA, 324 nt
Filed under: uncultured Prevotella sp.
Lineage: Bacteria; Pseudomonadati; Bacteroidota; Bacteroidia; Bacteroidales; Prevotellaceae
Description: partial 16S ribosomal RNA
Source: RNAcentral
GGAGUUUGGACCGUGUCUCAGUUCCAAUGUGGGGGACCUUCCUCUCAGAACCCCUACUGAUCGCAGGCUUGGUGGGCCGUUACCCCGCCAACAACCUAAUCAGACGCAUCCCCAUCCCAUAGCGGUGAACCUUUGGUAUUCCUCAGAUGUCAUCGAAAUACAACAUAGAGCAUUAAUCCGACUUUCGCCGGGCUAUUCUCUACUAUGGGGAAGGUUGGAUACGCGUUACUCACCCGUGCGCCACUCGAAUCAUUCCCUUCCGGCCGAAGCCUUCCGUUAAUGAUCCCCGUUCGACUUGCAUGUGUUAAGCACGCCGCCAGCGUU